Molecule: non-coding RNA, 769 nt
Organism: Paramuricea clavata
Lineage: Eukaryota; Metazoa; Cnidaria; Anthozoa; Malacalcyonacea; Plexauridae
Source: the annotation of a GenBank genome assembly
AUCACUAUCAUGAGCAUUUUCGUUCCCAGGGCUUCUCGGCUGACUGCGUUGUUUGCAUUGAUUCAGAUACUUCCAUCUCGUUCUCAAGACCGGAGCCUCGCGACGAGGAUUGGUUUGUUUCAGAUCAGUAAAAUAUCGAGCAAUAAUUAAUACCAUAUACUCUUGAACCUUUUAUAAUACCACAAGUAACAUCACAAUACCAUUGUACUAGUGUACCACUGAUCUAAUAGUAUCACUGCACUGUACCUGAUAAUAGCACUGGGGCUAGGUAUUUAUACCGAAUUAUUUAAAGUUGUUACACAAGAUAUUUCGGCAAUUCUGGUGACUGGUUGCUCAUAAGUUGAAACGGAUCGUCACCAUAUUCCCUAUUACGAAUAUUUUCAGUACUCUUUAUUGCAUGUCUAUAUAUUACGUUCUAUUAUAUCAUUUCUACUUUUUCUAUUAUAUUGCAAUACUCCUCUUCUAUUUUCAUUCUCUACAAUAAUAUCUCAUUUCAUAUUACGGUACAGGUCUAUAGCGAAUAAAUCGAAAAAUAAAUGUAACAACUGAGUGAAGUAAAAAAUCGAAGUGAUUAUUUGGCUCUUUGUCACACGAGUAACGUGCCAGUUCGUUGGUUUCAUUCAUUCAUCCUCUUCCGGUAACACUGUUAGGCAACCAACUGCUAUCAAGGCCUGCCCUGCUUGUGUCAUUACAAAAGAAGCCAGUCCACCCACACCAAGAGAUUGAAGAAAGGCCACAAGACCGCCAGCUCCAAUACCACCCGCACCAA